GGACUACUGGGGUUUCUAAUCCUGUUUGCUCCCCACGCUUUCGUGUCUCAGUGUCAGUGUUAGUCCAGAUGGCCGCCUUCGCCACUGAUGUUCCUCCCGAUAUCUACGCAUUUCACCGCUACACCGGGAAUUCCACCAUCCUCUACCACACUCUAGCCUGCCAGUAUCAAAUGCAGUUCCUGGGUUGAGCCCAGGGAUUUCACACCUGACUUAGCAAACCACCUACACACGCUUUACGCCCAGUAAUUCCGAUUAACGCUUGCACCCUCUGUAUUACCGCGGCUGCUGGCAC
RNAcentral lists this ribosomal RNA (292 nucleotides) under uncultured bacterium. RNAcentral's name for it is "partial 16S ribosomal RNA". RNAcentral also lists the same sequence under 1 other name. The record is from RNAcentral.